Molecule: ribosomal RNA, 654 nt
Filed under: Cibicidoides wuellerstorfi
Lineage: Eukaryota; Foraminifera; Rotaliida; Anomalinidae
Description: partial 18S ribosomal RNA
Rfam family: Eukaryotic small subunit ribosomal RNA
Source: RNAcentral
ACGAGAGCGCGUGUCUUAGUUUUCGCUUUGCUCAUACAAUUAGGUCCUGAAAGCAACGAACGUGACCGCAACCUCUUGUUGCCUUUAUACCAAACAUGUUUUGCGUCAAUUUUCGAAUUGCGCGCAUUUCAUGAAAAAAGGCUUUUUAAACUAGAGGGACCGCUGUUACUUUAUUAAACCAGAGGAAGGUUGCGGCAAUAACAGGUCUGUGAUGCCCUUAGAUGUUCCGGGCUGCACACGUGCUACAAUGAUUAUUGCAGUGAGCAUCUCAUUUUUACACACCGCAUGCGCGAGUCCAUUUAUUCACCUUCGGGUGUUUUAAAUGUGUAUCUCUGCGCGCGGUAAAGCCUGCUUCGACUAGUAAGUGGGUAAUCAAUUAGAAGUAAUGAUUUCCUUUUUUUUAGCACACAUAUAUACGGCGUCUAUGCCCGGGUUACCUUGUUGUAGCUUUUGUGCGUAUAGAUGUUUUUUCCGUAUGUGCGAUUGUCAAUUCAUGGUGGGGACAGACCAUUGUUAAUUGUUGGUCUCGGUCUUAACUAGGAAUGCCUUGUACGGGUCUUUGGUUCAACAAACCACCCGGAAUACGUCCCUGCCCUUUGUACACACCGCCCGUCGCUCUUACCGAUGGACUUCUCUGUGAGUUUGAGGGACUGG